This 519-nucleotide ribosomal RNA is filed under the name uncultured eukaryote. Its description in RNAcentral is "SSU rRNA". It matches the Rfam family "Eukaryotic small subunit ribosomal RNA", at positions 1161 to 1699 of the family's 1831-position model. The record is from RNAcentral.
AGGGCACCACCAGGAGUGGAGCCUGCGGCUUAAUUUGACUCAACACGGGAAAACUCACCCGGCCCGGACACUGGAAGGAUUGACAGAUUGAGAGCUCUUUCUUGAUUCAGUGGGUGGUGGUGCAUGGCCGUUCUUAGUUGGUGGAGUGAUUUGUCUGGUUAAUUCCGAUAACGAACGAGACUCUGGCCUACUAAAUAGAUCGUCGGCUUACAAACGCCGGCGAGACUUCUUAGAGGGACAGGCGGUGAUUCAACCGCACGAAACAGAGCAAUAACAGGUCUGUGAUGCCCUUAGAUGUCCGGGGCCGCACGCGCGCUACACUGAAGUGAUCAGCGUGCUUUUUCAACCUACUCUGUCAAGAGUGGGGAACCCAAUGAACCUUCUUCGUGAUUGGGAUAGGGGAUUGUAAUUAUUCCCCUUGAACGAGGAAUUCCCAGUAAGCGCGAGUCAUAAGCUCGCGUUGAUUACGUCCCUGCCCUUUGUACACACCGCCCGUCGCUACUACCGAUUGAAUGUUUU